This 538-nucleotide ribosomal RNA is filed under the name Fusarium sp. Hunan-Rfsb04. Its description in RNAcentral is "eukaryotic LSU rRNA". The stretch from base 181 to 334 matches the Rfam family "5.8S ribosomal RNA". The record is from RNAcentral. Lineage: Eukaryota; Fungi; Ascomycota; Sordariomycetes; Hypocreales; Nectriaceae.
UUCCGUAAGGGGUGCCUGCGGAGGGAUCAUUACCGAGUUUACAACUCCCAAACCCCUGUGAACAUACCUAUACGUUGCCUCGGCGGAUCAGCCCGCGCCCCGUAAAACGGGACGGCCCGCCCGAGGACCCUAAACUCUGUUUUUAGUGGAACUUCUGAGUAAAACAAACAAAUAAAUCAAAACUUUCAACAACGGAUCUCUUGGUUCUGGCAUCGAUGAAGAACGCAGCAAAAUGCGAUAAGUAAUGUGAAUUGCAGAAUUCAGUGAAUCAUCGAAUCUUUGAACGCACAUUGCGCCCGCCAGUAUUCUGGCGGGCAUGCCUGUUCGAGCGUCAUUUCAACCCUCAAGCUCAGCUUGGUGUUGGGACUCGCGGUAACCCGCGUUCCCCAAAUCGAUUGGCGGUCACGUCGAGCUUCCAUAGCGUAGUAAUCAUACACCUCGUUACUGGUAAUCGUCGCGGCCACGCCGUAAAACCCCAACUUCUGAAUGUUGACCUCGGAUCAGGUAGGAAUACCCGCUGAACUUAAGCAUAUCAAAA